GAUGAGCGCUGGCGGCGUGCCUAAUACAUGCAAGUCGAGCGAACGGACGAGAAGCUUGCUUCUCUGAUGUUAGCGGCGGACGGGUGAGUAACACGUGGAUAACCUACCUAUAAGACUGGGAUAACUUCGGGAAACCGUAGCUAAUACCGGAUAAUAUUUUGAACCGCAUGGUUCAAAAGUGAAAGACGGUCUUGCUGUCACUUAUAGAUGGAUCCGCGCUGCAUUAGCUAGUUGGUAAGGUAACGGCUUACCAAGGCAACGAUGCAUAGCCGACCUGAGAGGGUGAUCGGCCACACUGGAACUGAGACACGGUCCAGACUCCUACGGGAGGCAGCAGUAGGGAAUCUUGCGCAAUGGGCGAAAGCCUGACGGAGCAACGCCGCGUGAGUGAUGGAGGUCUUCGGAUCGUAAAACUCUGUUAUUAGGGAAGAACAUAUGUGUAAGUAACUGUGCACAUCUUGACGGUACCUAAUCAGAAAGCCACGGCUAACUACGUG
RNAcentral lists this ribosomal RNA (497 nucleotides) under uncultured bacterium. Its description in RNAcentral is "partial 16S ribosomal RNA". It matches the Rfam family "Bacterial small subunit ribosomal RNA", at positions 28 to 507 of the family's 1533-position model. The record is from RNAcentral.